UCAUCAUCUUUUUGAAUUCAUAGAUUAGAUGAAGCAAACGCUGUGAACUGAAACAUCUAAGUAGCAGUAGGAAAGUAAAGAAAUUUCGAUUCCGUCAGUAGCGGCGAGCGAACGCGGAAGAGCCCAAACCUGGGUGCUUGCAUCCAGGGGUUGUAGGACUGAUGUUGAGUUACAAAGGUAUAAGAUAGCAGAAACAGUUGGGAAGCUGUUCCAAAGAGGGUGACAGGCCCGUAUGCGAAAUCUUGUACUCUCUAAUCAGGAUCCUGAGUACGGCCCAGCACGUGAAAUUGGGUCGGAAUCUGGGAGGACCAUCUCCCAAGGCUAAAUACUAACUAGUGACCGAUAGCGAACAAGUACCGUGAGGGAAAGGUGAAAAGAACCCCGGAAGGGGAGUGAAAUAGUUCUUGAAACCGUGUGCUUACAAGAAGUUCGAGGCCGUUAAUGGCUGAGAGCGUGCUUUUUGUAGAAUGAACCGGAGAGUUACGAUUGCGUGCAAGGU
Molecule: ribosomal RNA, 499 nt
Filed under: Oenococcus oeni
Lineage: Bacteria; Bacillati; Bacillota; Bacilli; Lactobacillales; Lactobacillaceae
Description: bacterial LSU rRNA
Rfam family: Bacterial large subunit ribosomal RNA
Source: RNAcentral